UACGUAGGUGGCGAGCGUUAUCCGGAAUGAUUGGGCGUAAAGGGUGCGUAGGCGGCCUGCUAAGUCUGGAGUGAAAGGUACCGGCUCAACCGGUACAGGCUCUGGAAACUGGCGGGCUAGAGAGCAGGAGAGGGCGGUGGAACUCCAUGUGUAGCGGUGAAAUGCGUAGAUAUUAGGAGGAACACCAGUUGCGAAGGCGGCUCUCUGGACUGUAACUGACACUGAGGCACGAAAGCGUGGGGAGCAAAUAGG
Molecule: ribosomal RNA, 252 nt
Filed under: uncultured bacterium
Lineage: Bacteria
Description: partial 16S ribosomal RNA
Rfam family: Bacterial small subunit ribosomal RNA
Source: RNAcentral